This 1678-nucleotide ribosomal RNA is filed under the name Salinibacterium sp. NG253. RNAcentral's name for it is "partial 23S ribosomal RNA". It matches the Rfam family "Bacterial large subunit ribosomal RNA", at positions 540 to 2147 of the family's 2925-position model. The record is from RNAcentral. Lineage: Bacteria; Bacillati; Actinomycetota; Actinomycetes; Micrococcales; Microbacteriaceae.
GAAAUAGUACCUGAAACCGUUUGCUUACAAACCGUUGGAGCAGCCUUAGUAGCUGUGACAGCGUGCCUUUUGAAGAAUGAGCCUGCGAGUUAGUGAUCAGUGGCGAGGUUAACCCGUGUGGGGCAGCCGUAGCGAAAGCGAGUCUUAAUAGGGCGUUUUAGUCGCUGGUUCUAGACCCGAAGCGAAGUGAUCUAUCCAUGGCCAGGUUGAAGCGUGUGUAAGAGCACGUGGAGGACCGAACCCACUUAGGUUGAAAACUGAGGGGAUGAGCUGUGGAUAGGGGUGAAAGGCCAAUCAAACUUCGUGAUAGCUGGUUCUCUCCGAAAUGCAUUUAGGUGCAGCGUUGCGUGUUUCUUGCCGGAGGUAGAGCUACUGGAUAGCUGAUGGGCCCUAAAAGGUUACUGACGUUAGCCAAACUCCGAAUGCCGGUAAGUGAGAGCGCAGCAGUGAGACGGUGGGGGAUAAGCUUCAUCGUCGAGAGGGUAACAGCCCAGACUACCAACNAGCCACCCUUGAAAGAGUGCGUAAUAGCUCACUGGUCAAGUGAUUCCGCGCCGACAAUGUAACGGGGCUCAAGCACACCACCGAAGUUGUAGAUUUCGUAUUUUAGGUAAGCCUUCGUGGUUCAGCCGUACGGAGUGGUAGGAGAGCGUCGUGUGGGCAGUGAAGCGGCGGUGUAAACCAGCCGUGGAGCCUACACGAGUGAGAAUGCAGGCAUGAGUAGCGAAAGACGGGCGAGAAACCCGUCCUCCGAAUGAUCAAGGGUUCCAGGGCCAGGCUAAUCCGCCCUGGGUAAGUCGGGACCUAAGGCGAGGCCGACAGGCGUAGUCGAUGGACAACGGGUUGAUAUUCCCGUACUGACGAAGAACCGCCCAAACUAAUCCAGUGAUGCUAAGAGUCUGAAUCCUCUAGAUGGAUCCCUUCGGGGUGAAGCGUGAGGCCUAGCACUCGACCCUAUGCUGGUGCGGUUAGCGUAUUAACAGGUGUGACGCAGGAAGGUAGCUGAGCCGGGCGAUGGUUGUCCCGGUCUAAGAAUGUAGGCCGAGAGAUAGGCAAAUCCGUCUCUCAUUACGGCUGAGACUCGAUGGGUAGUCCUCACGGACGAAAUCAGUGAUCCUAUGCUGCCAAGAAAAGCAUCGACGCGAGGUUCAAGUUACCCGUACCCCAAACCGACUCAGGUGAUCAGGUAGAGAAUACUAAGGAGAUCGAGAGAAUCGUGGUUAAGGAACUCGGCAAAAUGCCCCCGUAACUUCGGGAUAAGGGGGGCCUAAGGCGUGAACGGAUUUACUCCGGGAGCGCUGCAGGGCCGCAGAGACCAGUGGGAAGCGACUGUUUACUAAAAACACAGGUCCGUGCUAAGUCGCAAGACGAUGUAUACGGACUGACGCCUGCCCGGUGCUGGAAGGUUAAGAGGAACGGUUAGCCGUAAGGCGAAGCUGUGAAUUUAAGCCCCAGUAAACGGCGGUGGUAACUAUAACCAUCCUAAGGUAGCGAAAUUCCUUGUCGGGUAAGUUCCGACCUGCACGAAUGGCGUAACGACUUCCCAGCUGUCUCAACCGCGAACUCGGCGAAAUUGCACUACGAGUAAAGAUGCUCGUUACGCGCAGAAGGACGGAAAGACCCCGUGACCUUUACUAUAGCUUUGUAUUGGUGUUCGGUGUGGCCUGUGUAGGAUAGG